AUAGCGUAUAUUAAAGUUGUUGCAGUUAAAAAGCUCGUAGUUGAACUUCAGGCCUGGGCGGGCGGUCUGCCUCACGGUAUGUACUGUCUGCCUGGGUCUUACUUCUUGGUGAGCCGGCAUGCUCUUUACUGGGUGUGUCGGGGAACCAGGACUUUUACCUUGAGAAAAUUAGAGUGUUCAAAGCAGGCAUACGCCCGAAUACAUUAGCAUGGCAUAAUAAAAUAGGACGUGCGGUUCUAUUUUGUUGGUUUCUAGAGUCGCCGUAAUGAUUAAUAGGGAUAGUUGGGGGCAUUUGUAUUCCGUUGCUAGAGGUGAAAUUCUUGGAUUUACGGAAGACAAACUUCUG
RNAcentral lists this ribosomal RNA (346 nucleotides) under uncultured eukaryote. RNAcentral's name for it is "SSU rRNA". It matches the Rfam family "Eukaryotic small subunit ribosomal RNA", at positions 594 to 945 of the family's 1831-position model. The record is from RNAcentral.